UUGGAAUGUUUACAAUAUCAAAACCUCUUA
This 30-nucleotide non-coding RNA is filed under the name Mus musculus (house mouse). Lineage: Eukaryota; Metazoa; Chordata; Mammalia; Rodentia; Muridae. The record is from RNAcentral.